GCCGGGGUAGCUCAAUCGGUAGAGCGUGUGGCUCUUACAAUGGGUUGUGCGCCCAGAGAAAGAACACCUCAAGGUCGUGGGUUCGAGCCCCACCUUCGGCU
Molecule: transfer RNA, 101 nt
Filed under: Pseudocercospora musae
Lineage: Eukaryota; Fungi; Ascomycota; Dothideomycetes; Mycosphaerellales; Mycosphaerellaceae
Description: Mycosphaerella musicola tRNA
Rfam family: tRNA
About the family: Transfer RNA (tRNA) molecules are approximately 80 nucleotides in length. Their secondary structure includes four short double-helical elements and three loops (D, anti-codon, and T loops). Further hydrogen bonds mediate the characteristic L-shaped molecular structure. tRNAs have two regions of fundamental functional importance: the anti-codon, which is responsible for specific mRNA codon recognition, and the 3' end, to which the tRNAs corresponding amino acid is attached (by aminoacyl-tRNA synthetases). tRNAs cope with the degeneracy of the genetic code in two manners: having more than one tRNA (with a specific anti-codon) for a particular amino acid; and 'wobble' base-pairing, i.e. permitting non-standard base-pairing at the 3rd anti-codon position.
Source: Rfam by way of RNAcentral